GUUCAGAACGGUUAGAACGCUGGCCUUGUAAUCCUGGGGUCUCGGGUUCGAUUCCCGG
RNAcentral lists this transfer RNA (58 nucleotides) under Zootermopsis nevadensis. Lineage: Eukaryota; Metazoa; Arthropoda; Insecta; Blattodea; Termopsidae. The record is from Rfam by way of RNAcentral.